This 404-nucleotide ribosomal RNA is filed under the name Fusobacteriota bacterium. RNAcentral describes it as "Fusobacteria bacterium partial 16S ribosomal RNA". It matches the Rfam family "Bacterial small subunit ribosomal RNA", at positions 355 to 776 of the family's 1533-position model. Lineage: Bacteria; Fusobacteriati; Fusobacteriota. The record is from RNAcentral.
UGGGGAAUAUUGCACAAUGGAGGGAACUCUGAUGCAGCGACGCCGCGUGAGUGAUGAAGGAAUUCGUUUCGUAAAACUCUGUUCUAUGGGAAGAAAAGGACUGUACCAUAGGAGAAAGCUCCGGCUAAAUACGUGCCAGCAGCCGCGGUAAUACGUAUGGAGCGAGCGUUGUCCGGAAUUAUUGGGCGUAAAGGGUGCGCAGGCGGCUUUACAAGUUGGAUGUGAAAUAUUGUGGCUCAACCACAAACGUGCAUCCAAAACUGCAAAGCUUGAGUUAAGGAGAGGUAAGUGGAAUUCCUGGUGUAGCGGUGGAAUGCGUAGUUAUCAGGAGGAAUACCGGUGGCGAAGGCGACUUACUGGACUUAAACUGACGCUCAGGCACGAAAGCGUGGGGAGCAAACAGG